RNAcentral lists this long non-coding RNA (1350 nucleotides) under Capsicum annuum. RNAcentral's name for it is "long non-coding RNA (CANN_LNC014380)". Lineage: Eukaryota; Viridiplantae; Streptophyta; Magnoliopsida; Solanales; Solanaceae. The record is from RNAcentral.
AUGAAGCAAAUAAGUAAAGGCGUCGCAUGUCCCUCUCACACCAUAUAAGCAUUAUAAAACCUAUGGCUUUCAAAGCUUCUAUAGCAAACAAUCCCACCAUAACACUACAUUUAAAGACUUCACUAAAAAAAUCGAGAGAAAAUCAACUUACCUUUGCUUGACCUAAAUUAAAGAGAAAGACACAACCGGUCACUGAAAAAUAACAAAGCAAUCCUUUUAACUUCUCUUAAAAGAAACAACACAUGCUAACAUCGAUCUAUCGAUAAAAAUAAUAAACUAUAUCAGUAGCUAUAUCUGUAUUUCAAGAAUAUAUACAUACACAUACCUUCAACCCCCACCCCUCCAAUCCCACCCCACCCCCCACACAAAAAACAAAAGAGGGUGUAAACAAGAAUCUUCACCUAACACCAACCCACAUUGUAAGAAAAUCAAGAAUGUAAGUGCAAUUAAUGUAAUUUACGAUAGAAUAACAAACCAAAUACUGUAUAUAGAGAGAAAUUGAUUCAAAAAAAUGAAUCUUGAUUCAAGAAACUCCACUUUCUGCUGUAAUAUAAUUGCAAAAAGCAAGUAAUUUCAAUUCAAAUCAGUAAAUGCAACAAGAAAUACCCAAAAACACAAAAGCCAAAAUUUUCAAUAUAGGUUGGUCCAAACCUACAAAUCGAGUGAUUCUUAAAUUGGGGUUUUCUUUCAUUUCUCAAAUUACUGAGGAAGAAACUGGAAAGAGAAAGAAAAACCGGCUCUAAUUAAACUAAGGAAGAGAACUUAAAUCCACACACACAAAAAAAAUCACUUAAAAUAAUCAAAAUCAGCAACCGUAAGUUUACACCCCCAUUUGAAUGAAGCAAAAACCAAAAACGAAAAAACCCACUAACCCUGAUUCUAAAUAAUCUCACAUUUUAAACUUCAAAUCAUUAUAACUUCAAUAAAUCAAAAAAACAAUGCCAAUAAAAGAAGGGGUAAAAUAACCCAAAACCAAAAACCCAGAAACAACACAACAAUGGAUAUACUUAGAUAGUGUGUCAACUAACCCCAGAUCUGAAAAAUUAUAUACACAUACCCCCCCUCCCGUCCCACCCCACCCCGAUAACCCACCCACCCCUCAAUCCCAAAAAAAACACAAAGAGAGAAAAUAGGAAGUGUACCGCUGUGCCGCUGUUUUCAUCGCUGUGUCGCUGCUUUUCCUUUGCUGUGUCGCUGCUUUCAUCGUGAGGUUGCCCGAAUUUUCGUCGGUAAGGUCGCCGAGAUUUUCGUUGGUGAGCCGUGUGAGAGUUGUUUGAAAAGGAAAAGGGGUAAUUGGAAGGGAAAAGGGGCAAGUAAGAUGGGCUGUCCGGGUCGGGUCAAAUUAUUGGG